GAUGAAGAACGCAGCGAAAUGCGAUAAGUAAUGUGAAUUGCAGAAUUCAGUGAAUCAUCGAAUCUUUGAACGCACAUUGCGCCCAUUAGUAUUCUAGUGGGCAUGCCUGUUCGAGCGUCAUUUCAACCCUCAAGCCUUAGUUGCUUGGUGUUGGGAGCUUAUCUUGCCGAAAGGCGGGACAACUCCUUAAAUUUGUCGGCGGAGUCGCGGUGACCCCAAGCGUAGUAAAUUAUUUUUUCCUCGCUUUAGGUGUUAACGCUGGCUUUUCUAGCCGUUAAACCCCCCCUAAUAUUUUAAUGGUUGACCUCGGAUCAGGUAGGACUACCCGCUGAACUUAAGCAUAUCAAUAAGCGGAGGA
This 358-nucleotide unclassified non-coding RNA is filed under the name soil metagenome. RNAcentral's name for it is "partial contains 5.8S ribosomal RNA, internal transcribed spacer 2, and large subunit ribosomal RNA". The stretch from base 1 to 120 matches the Rfam family "5.8S ribosomal RNA", at positions 35 to 154 of the family's 154-position model. The record is from RNAcentral.